This is a long non-coding RNA of Nylanderia fulva, 476 nucleotides long. RefSeq lists it as uncharacterized. NCBI's taxonomy places the organism in Eukaryota, Metazoa, Arthropoda, Insecta, Hymenoptera, Formicidae. The record is from RefSeq and is a predicted model, not a curated record.
AGAAGAUCCAGUGCAAGUUCCGGAAACAUAUUUACGAUGGUCAUUAUGAAAGAGUCCAUUCCUAGUGCACAUGCAGCGUUUAUCGUCUAAAAUAAAAACCAAGAAUAUAUCUUAUUUGAUCGUUCCACUCUGAAUGAUGACUGCAAUUUGAGAAAUGUUAUGUACAGAUGCGAUUCGAGAACUUUUGUGUUGCAGUUUAUAUGCUUGAAUUUUAAAAGGUAGCAUUGUGAUACGCAGUGCUAUUUACGCGUCGUGUCGGGAGUGCCGUGUAAAGUUUCGCGUGUCGGGAGUGCCGUUGAAAGUAUCGGACGAUCGUAUUCAUGUUUUCGCGAGUGUCUUGAGUGCUACAAAGAUCCAAGAGAGGAGGAGGAGGCCCGGGGAGGCAUCAGGCGACAGUGGGCCAGGUGUGAGAUUCGUGUGCUGUAUAUUACAACUUCGCUAUUGCACAUAUUGGUGAGUGAGAAAUUGUUUAUAAC